This 253-nucleotide ribosomal RNA is filed under the name uncultured bacterium. Its description in RNAcentral is "partial 16S ribosomal RNA". It matches the Rfam family "Bacterial small subunit ribosomal RNA", at positions 524 to 776 of the family's 1533-position model. The record is from RNAcentral.
UACGGGGGGGGCAAGCGUUGUUCGGAAUUACUGGGCGUAAAGCGCGCGUAGGCGGCGAGGCAAGUUGGAUGUGAAAGCCCUGGGCUCAACCUAGGAUGUGCAUACAAAACUGCCUCGCUUGAAUCUCGGAGGGGGUCAGGGAAUUCCCGGUGUAGAGGUGAAAUUCGUAGAUAUCGAGAGGAACACCGGUGGCGAAGGCGGCCUUCUGGACAGUGACUGACGCUGAGACGCGAAAGCGUGGGGAGCAAACAGG